GAGAGUGUGGGGAAAGCCUUUCUGCACCCUAAUCAUCCUCCUCUCUUGCAUUGUCUGCCUGGCACAUGCCCUGCCCCGAAGGCAACAAAACAUAAAACAUUUCAUGAGCUAGAAGAACAUGGAAAGUUUAUGAAGAGCUGCUGGCACUAUAUUCACAAGCAUGCAGAGGGAACAGAGUGAUUUUUAUUUUCCACCACUCUUAGAUUAUUGUCAUAAAGCUCUCAGAGAUGCCUGGCACGAGGGGAUGUAACAGCAGGAAGACAGGAGAGCGUCGCUACAGGGCGAGCAGCGUCUUGUGAGGUCUGAGAUAAACAGCACCGGCAGAUCGUGUUCACAGGCAUCUGCAGGACUAAGGAGGUGUGCUGCUCUAUCUGCCUCUCUAUUCAAGACCAUUUUGAGAUUCAGUUUAAAUUCUUGUUUAUGGAUUUAGAAGAGUUCCAGCAGUGAUUUCAGAGCAUUCUGUUGAUCUGAGGUACCUCCUACGAAAUGGAUUUGGCCUCUGUUCGUUCAUUCUCUUCUCUUGGUCAACUUCUCUGUGCCAAGGAGAGCAGUAACAAAGAAAAACGAUGGAGGGUUUAAUUCCUGGUGCAUUUCCCAGUUCAGAGGAAGGAUGCAGUUCCUAAGAUCAGAGAACAUAACUUCCAGCUGAUUAACCAAUAUACAAGCUCAAUAUACAAGGUAGGUGCGCAGUGAGCACUGGCUGCCUCUGGGGAAAUGAUGGGAAGGCAGCCAAAGACAAAUGUGCUGGAUGUCUGCAGGCUGGAAGAAGAGCAGACAAGGGAAAUCGGAGUCAAAAGUGGUUCUAUGUCUUCUGGUUUGCUGUUGUGUUCAGAUGCCCCAGCCUGAGUGGGAUCUU
This is a long non-coding RNA of Oxyura jamaicensis (ruddy duck), 856 nucleotides long. RefSeq lists it as uncharacterized. The record is from RefSeq and is a predicted model, not a curated record. Lineage: Eukaryota; Metazoa; Chordata; Aves; Anseriformes; Anatidae. The transcript is spliced from 3 exons.